Molecule: ribosomal RNA, 492 nt
Filed under: uncultured bacterium
Lineage: Bacteria
Description: bacterial SSU rRNA
Rfam family: Bacterial small subunit ribosomal RNA
Source: RNAcentral
GGCGGCGUGCCUAACACAUGCAAGUCGAGCGGGACGAUACGACGGAGUCAAAGUUUCGGAUGGAGACGAAGAUGUAUGUUCUAGCGGCGGACGGGUGAGUAACGCGUGAGCAACCUGUCCCUUACAGGGGAUAACACAGCGAAAGUUGUACUAAUACCGCAUGAGACCACGGGUAGACAUCUACCAGGGGUCAAAGGAGCAAUCCGGUAAGGGGUGGGCUCGCGUCCGAUUAGAUAGUUGGUGAGGUAACGGCCCACCAAGUCGACGAUCGGUAACCGACCUGAGAGGGUGAUCGGCCACAUUGGGACUGAGACACGGCCCAAACUCCUACGGGAGGCAGCAGUGGGGAAUAUUGGGCAAUGGGGGGAAACCCUGACCCAGCAACGCCGCGUGAGGGAAGAAGGUUUUCGGAUCGUAAACCUCUGUCCUUGGUGAAGAGGAAGAGACGGUAGCCAAGGAGGAAGCCCCGGCUAACUACGUGCCAGCCGCUGC